RNAcentral lists this ribosomal RNA (253 nucleotides) under uncultured bacterium. RNAcentral's name for it is "partial 16S ribosomal RNA". It matches the Rfam family "Bacterial small subunit ribosomal RNA", at positions 524 to 776 of the family's 1533-position model. The record is from RNAcentral.
UACGUAGGGCGCAAGCGUUGUCCGGAAUUAUUGGGCGUAAAGAGCUCGUAGGCGGUCUGUUGCGUCGGCUGUGAAAACCCGGGGCUCAACUCCGGGCCUGCAGCCGAUACGGGCAGACUAGAGUUCGGCAGGGGAGACUGGAAUUCCUGGUGUAGCGGUGAAAUGCGCAGAUAUCAGGAGGAACACCGGUGGCGAAGGCGGGUCUCUGGGCCGAUACUGACGCUGAGGAGCGAAAGCGUGGGGAGCAAACAGG